GUGAAAGGUGUGUCUCCACCGGCUGC
Molecule: non-coding RNA, 26 nt
Filed under: Mus musculus (house mouse)
Lineage: Eukaryota; Metazoa; Chordata; Mammalia; Rodentia; Muridae
Source: RNAcentral